AGGGCCCUGACUCACUCAGCUCUGGCUUUGUUUAACGCUGUUUCCGUUUGGUUUGGUGUGGAGUUUUCAUUUUGUUUUGUCUUGUUUCGAGAUGGAGACUCCCACGUAGCUGAGGAGGAUCUUGAACUCCUGACCCUCUGUUCUCUACUUCCCAAGCAUAAGGAUCACAGAAGGUCCAUCAGCACCAGGUGUCUAGCUUUGCUGUGGGAAUCACAGGGUUGGGGAGCCUGGCGCUCCAGCAUCCUGAGAGACCCAUUCUCCUCUAGAUGGCUCCUGGUGUCUCCCUGCCCCAUAUCUGCCGUCCAACUUCAGGAAGAAGCUCAAGAAGGCAUUGGAGGGAAGGAGCCAGAGGCCUUCUUCCUGCAGGGAUGAGGGUCUUCUCUUGCUGUUACACCUAUCCAGAGGAGGCACAGACUGCACGCUGGAUAGUUUUACGUCCACUCGACACAAGAUAGAGUGAUCUGAGAGGAGAGAACCGCAACUGGGAAAAUGCCUCCAUAA
This is a long non-coding RNA of Rattus rattus (black rat), 501 nucleotides long. RefSeq lists it as uncharacterized. The record is from RefSeq and is a predicted model, not a curated record. The transcript is spliced from 3 exons. Lineage: Eukaryota; Metazoa; Chordata; Mammalia; Rodentia; Muridae.